GGUGUUUUGAGUUAAUUUAGCAAGAAGCUCAGUUACGGAACUAUAUGAACAAUAAGCGACGUUUAACACGAACUGUUUAAGCAGAGCAAAAGCGGCAGACUUUAAAGUUGGCAUGAGGAAAAUUUACAAAUUCCCAGAGGGCAGCAGUCAACAAGGACGUUUCCUCAGUGGAUUUUGGCUGAUUAGGCGACAGCUAAAGGGACACAGAGAGCUCAGUUUUUGAGAUCGAGGCAUCUCGGCUGUUGACAGCUAAUGGAAUUGCUCUUGUGCGUAUGAUCCCACGGAGGCAAAAGCAAGUGAUGAAUGUGAAAUCCGUGCUGUCAGUCGUGAGGCUGAUGUGCCUCCGAAGCCGCCGUUCAUUGGCAGAAGUGUCUGGAGCGGUAGGCGCGUGUCCUCCGACGUGUUAGACCCUGUCUACCUGCCAGAGCCUCUGCUUGGCAGCUGACAAAUGUUGAUUCUACAUUAAGCACAAUGCUGCAGCGCUGUGCAAAUAAUGUUCUUACGGAUAGCGAGCCUCAUCCCCUGUAUGGCUAAAAGCAUGCCAUCCUCCCCAGUUUAACACCCUCUGAAAGUAGAGGUGGGGGCGCAAACUGUCUCGAACAACACAGUAGCCUCUUUAUUUGGCAGCGCCUGGGAAGGCCGAGGCCUCUCGCCGCCCGAGUCGACCUAAGCAACAGCUGGUGUUCACAGCAACAUUUCCUAUUUCUGCCUAAGGUGGAUCGUGUAACUCUCACUUUAUCACCCUUAGAGGCCACGUGAAGGACAAAGCUAGCACACCCAUAAACAAAACUAAUGUUUUGAUACAAGCCCCUCGGGGGACUGCUGGAGGAGUCCGUGGUGGUUUUAAUACCCCCUCAGCAGUCCUCUGCACAUUUGACCUAUAUCAACUUUUUAAGCCUAUGAGGUGGGGUCCCAUGCCGUUAGUCUGUCCUCUGACAUGAUUGACAAUGAGCAUGAGAAAGACACAGUGCCUUUAGAGUUUUUUUUGUCAUCAGCACCGAGUUUAAUAUGAUACACUGUUGACUCGCGGUGCCUCCGUCUAGUGAACCCUCUGAGCCACUGUUUUUUUCACUUAAGACCUUUAAAUCAGGAUCACUGUGUUCAUAUCAAUACUGACUUAAUUAAUUCCCUUAUUAGCUUUUUUAUAUAUAGUUUUAAAAGUAUAUAAAAACAUUAUUUUUUAAAUGCCAUAUUUACAACUAAAGCUUGUUUUAAUUAGCAACUCAUCUGAGUUUUUUUUUCCCCUCUUGACUAAUAUGUUAAUAUAUUGACUAAUAUGUUAAUAUUCCUUUUCACAACUGAGAUGCACAACAUUUGCUAAACAGAAUUUUCCAAUAAUAUAAAAAUGUUGUUCUAAAAGAUCUAUAACAAAGCACCAUCGUCCAUUAAGUGGUUUUCCUGGAGCUUCCCUUCGUGUCUUACGUUCCAUUAUUAGCUGUUCCUGUAUUUUAUUUCUUGGAAAGAAAAGAAAAAAAUCCUAUUUUCCUUCAUAUUCCUAAACGAGCUGCCAUGGUUAUACAAACAUGUGUAAGAAAAGGUCAGACUAAUACCCUUCACACCGUUUCUGAUUGGCCUUUUGUGUUUAUGUCCCAUUGCAGCAACAGUUAACUCUGAUCUCGGGCUCCUAUUUGUCCCCGUGGCCCAUUACUGGCUCCCAGCCCAGAGUGUCAGAUGCACAGGCAACCUGUACUGACCUGAUAACAUUUAUAGAUGUAAUGGAUUUUUUUAUGCCUGUCAUUAACUCGCUCAAAGAUUGGAGAAAGAAAUUGCUUGUACCUUAUUCUGUGGUAUUUCAACUUUAUAGCAUUAUGUUCAGAUAUGUCACCUUCCAUCAUCCAUUUUAGGGCCUCUCCUGUCACUGGUUUUGUUUUAAAUGUACAGGUCUUUUGUCCAGGGCCCUUGUAGUAUCCAGGACUUGUAAUGAAUAUUUAAUGAUGUUGAGUAAAAGCUUAUAAAAAAAAAGGAUAUAAUUUUGUCCAAUUAUUGGUUCUGUCUUUUCCAGACAGUUAGGGGUGAUUUAGCAGAACACUUGGUUGAUGUAGACAGUUUUUAUGAAGCUGCUUCAAAUAAAAUCAUUUAACAAU
Long non-coding RNA from Betta splendens (Siamese fighting fish), 2084 nucleotides. RefSeq lists it as uncharacterized. The record is from RefSeq and is a predicted model, not a curated record. Lineage: Eukaryota; Metazoa; Chordata; Actinopteri; Anabantiformes; Osphronemidae. The transcript is spliced from 3 exons.